CAAGUACUCCCUCCGUCCGGAAUUACUUGUCAUCAAAAUGGAUGUGUCUAGAACUAAAAUACAUCUAGAUACAUCCAUUUCAAUGACAAGUAUUUUCGGACGGUGGGAGUACAAG
This is a non-coding RNA of Triticum aestivum (bread wheat), 115 nucleotides long. NCBI's taxonomy places the organism in Eukaryota, Viridiplantae, Streptophyta, Magnoliopsida, Poales, Poaceae. The record is from Rfam.